This 240-nucleotide unclassified non-coding RNA is filed under the name soil metagenome. RNAcentral describes it as "partial contains 5.8S ribosomal RNA, internal transcribed spacer 2, and large subunit ribosomal RNA". The record is from RNAcentral.
AACGGUCUAUACCUGCGGUACCUGCGGAGGGAUCAUUACAGAGUUUACAACUCCCAAACCCACUGUGAACCUUACAGCGUCGUUGCCUCGGCGGACCGCCCCCGGCGCGGCCCCCCUCGGGGGGGCGCCCGGGACCACGGCGCCCGCCGGAGGACCCAAACUCUUGUAUUUGCAGGAUGCAUUGCUCUGAGUGAAAACAAGCAAAUGAAUCAAAACUUUUAACAAUGGAUCUCUAGAUCG